Strongylocentrotus purpuratus (purple sea urchin) is the source of this 6866-nucleotide long non-coding RNA. RefSeq lists it as uncharacterized. The record is from RefSeq and is a predicted model, not a curated record. The transcript has 2 exons. Lineage: Eukaryota; Metazoa; Echinodermata; Echinoidea; Camarodonta; Strongylocentrotidae.
CGGACAGUAAUCGUCCCUAUGCCGAUACUUGGCUGGGGGCUCGGCUGGGGGUUCGCCCCCUCCAGCCCCUGGGGAGCUGGCCGGUUGCGGCGAGCUCCUUUCCUGCUUUGGCAAAGCCGUAGAACCAGCUAUAGGCCCAGCUGGCCCUUCACCUGUAGGCGGGGAGUACACCGAAUGUUCAUAAGGAACGGGAUCCCCACCCUGGACAGACUGUUUUUGCUCAGUCCCCUCUCGAUAAGGCUCAAAAUAAAAAAAUUGUAAAAGCUCCUUGGCUUCAUGGAGACGGGGACACUGCAAAAACAAUUCCUCAGUCAAGUUCCCACAUUCCUCCCUCCACUUCAGAAUUUUGCCGGUCUUAAUUUUAUGUAUAACCGUCAGAAAGGCCUCCUCAUUACAAUAAUUAAUUCUAACCUUCUGCGAGGCCAUAAUCGUCUUUAUAUUAGCAACGAUUAUAUAACAAAAUGAGGAUGAAAUUAAAUACUACCCACGAUUUAACCUAAACCCACCGAUAUAUACAAAACAAGACUGACGGUCUACAAAGUCAUGCAAAUAAAAAAAAUCCCACUUAGGUGCCUACCCAAACAAUCAUUCCUUUUUGCUUGCUUAAUAACUUACUUAGUAUCUUAAAGGAAAAUACUUGCUUACUUAAUAACUUACUUAGUUUCUUAAAGGAAAAUAUUUAAACCCUAUAUCUCAAUGAAAAAUACCGCAAAAUGAUCUCCGCGGUAUAAUGCUUCGGCGAGUGGGCCAAAAAUUACUCCUACUUAGCUGCUUACAACCCUAUGCCAAAUAUUUCUACUUAAACAACCCUAUACCUCACCAAAACACCACGGAAUGAUCUCCACGGUAUAAUGCUUCGGCGAGUGGGCCAAAACUAAUAACUCCUACUUACCAAGUUGUUUACUCAAUCCUACUUUAAACCACCAUAUAACCCCACCGAAAAAACACAGUGAAAUUAUCUCCACGGUACAAUGCUUGGCGAGAUGACCGUAAAAACUAUCCUAACAAGAUUAGUAUAAUGAAGAUGAAUGAAAGUGAAAUUAAGAUUGCUCAAUCAACUCUGAUACAAUUGAAUAAAAAUUAAAAAAAUAAAUAACACGGAACGUAACAAUAACCAGUAUGCAAAUAUCACAAUGCUAACCUAGUCUGUCCGGGAUUGCACAAAAAAACACUUGCAGAAUAUAUUCUUUCUAAAGCUAGAUCGAGAAAAACAAACAAACAGAAAAGACAAAAAAAAAUUAGCAGUCAAUCACAACUAUACUAACCAUACACCCUGCACCAUAAUAAUUGGGAACUUAAUCACCAAUAUCACAUUAAAAUUCCACCUUAAACACGGUUAAAAUCCCUAAACUCUACAAACUAACCUGAGACUAGGCCAAGAAAUAUUGUAUUCCCGUCCUCCGGUCAAGAUACAGACUACGGUAAUAUUUAUGAAGUACAUGUAUUUUCAUGAGAAACAUGAGUUGUAGGUUGAGAAUGGACAGGUGUCACAGGACUAUUGAAUGAGGGGAAAUAGAGUGAGUAGCAGAGGAUUUGAUUUGAUGUUUAAAGGCCUUGGACGCUUGCCGCCACCUUACAGUGUACUCCAUCCAUCCAAUGUAGAGAGUAAUGGGGUUUAUGAUAGCUGCUUCGAAUGCUUCAAUGGUAGUCAGACACUGACCUCAUCUCCCUUUUCAUGCUGUCCCCACCUUUGUGUACAGCUCCAAUCCUGAUACGUUUUGGAUGCAAGGAAGGUGCUUUCGCUCGGCCUCCUAAAGAUGUCUUGUGCUGUCAGCAUUGAUGAGGCGCAGGCCAGUGGUAUCUGUGAGGUCCCACAUUGCAUCCAGGAGUUUCUGGAUGGAGCAGCGUGUCCUUUCAACUCCGCGAGUUCUCCUCUUGCAGUGUUUGGCCAGCUCCGCAGUGGAGAUGUUUGCUGAAACUUGUUUCUCAGUAGGCUCAUGGCUACCGAACUCCUUUUUAAGCUGUUCUCUUUUUGCUUUUCGGAGUUGCCAAAUGUCAUCCUCAUCCCACUCGAAGAUUGCGCUGGAAAGCCUCGAGCAGAAUGCACCAUAGAGAGGAUGGUGCAGAUAUAUUGCAGCAAUCUGUAUCCACGUAUAUGACAUUGGGCUCUGGCUCACCGGGAUCUUGAUAUCUUUUUACAAUACCUUGACACAUCUCUUUCAAACCAGCCCCCUCCUGUAGUCAAAACGCUGUUUAAGAUUUCGCCAUACUCGUUGCCUACAUUUGACAUCCAUCCAGGCAGCAGUGCCAUCAAUGCCACCGGCCAGCUUCUUGGUGAUUUUCUUGGUGGAGUCCAACUUGUGAAUUCUACCAUAGGUGGAGGUGAUGACCCCUUGCAUCUCCUGCACAGGCUGGACGAUCUCGUUUCCAUGAACCGUCUCAAACCACUGUGCAAGAGGAACUGGACGAUAAGCUGGAGGUGGUCAAUAGACAGUGACAGUAGUCACAAGCCUGCUUCCUCUUUUGUGAAGUUCACAAUCAGACCUUCAGGUAUUGAAGGGCACGUCUUCCCCACUCCUCACUGUGAAUUUCCUCCAAACUCUGCCUCAGGUAGCUUGAACUGUUUCCUGCCGUCCUGGGUUUCAUGAGGAAUCGUUAAGAAUCGGUUGGGAAUUUGGUGGAGUCCUCCUCCUCUGAAGAGACUUAGGGGAUCUCCAGGCAGCAUAUGCAGUCUCCUGCAGUGAAUGAUGGCUCUACAUGGCAGUGCAUGGCCACCACUCAGGCACCUGUAUGAAUCAAAACAAAAGGAGAAAGAAAAUCAGCAUCUCAUUUUUUUUCUUCAUCUACAUCUACGUACUUACACAAAACAUCUAGAAAUAUAUAUCAUUCAACUCUCUCAAUUUUUUUUUUAUAAAUUCCCUUUAUUUUCUGUUAUAUUCCUAAAUCUAUUAUGAUUCCUUAUCAAGUCAAUAUUCUGGGUAAAAUUAAAAUACAUAUACAUGCAAUGUGAUGCGUUCGAUGUGCCAAGUUUCUAAGUGAAACUUUGCAUUCUCAAUGGAGGGCCUUAACCUCAUUGUAAAUAACCCCACAACAUUUAGCACAUGGUGAAUCUUUGUCAUGCAUCUUAGUUGAAACUUCAUUCCUACUUGUAGUUUGUCUUGGCUCAACUAUCUUUGCAGCAUUUGUUGUGUCUUUAGAUUCGGCUUUACCACCUCUUUUUUUCAUUUUCUUCAUCUCAUCUUUUUUGUUCUUGGGUAGUAAAUCACCUGAACAGUUACUUGUAGACUCUACUGAGGUGGUACUUUGUCAACUGAUCGACUGGAUUGUGCUCUGCUACUUCUAUCACUCACUAUUGAGUCUGUCUGAUCCGCCAUAUUGGAAAAAUCUCAGCCGAGUCUAGUCAGCUAAUUCCACUGCUAUUUCACUAGUUAUAAUGAACACAUUGCAGUUGUAUUUCAAAAUAAUGAAUGACAAUAGAGAAACAAUAGCCCUUACGGUAUCUGUACAUCGAUUUUAGCAGAGUGAUGUCCAACUAGGAAUCCAGUAUGUGGGACCAGGGUGACCUUCCAUGUAAAGAUGCAGGGUGAUUCAGAAAAUGACAUCAAAAUAUCUGUUUGGAUACUGUAAAAUAUCCCUCCAAAAUCAUCAAUCAGGGUCAUCAGAAUGUAAAUAACAUGAUAAUGUCUAUAAAAGGACAAAUUCCAGUGUGAUUAUAGAGAUGAAAAUGGAUUACGCAGAUACCUUUCAGACUAUUAAAGUCGCCCUGAUCUACAGAUCAUAGGCUACGAUGUAUAACGUCUUAAAUACUACAAAGAGACAAAGAACAGCACUUACCGGUAUAAAGCUCGGAGUGUCUCUCAAGUCUGUACCAGUCAGUGUAUAGCAGUUCUCAAUCUGUCGUCCCAGUGCAAGAAGACUAAUGGCGCCCUCUUGUGGUAGGAGCUUGUAAGAGCUUGUAAAAGCUUGUAUGGGGGUGGGGGCAAUUCCUACUACACUAUUUUCAGACUCCCCUAAUAAUACAUUAUCACCAGGUCCUGAGCCAAGAGGUCAAAAACCUCAUUAAUGUGAUGGAUAGAACCUUCACAUGGCAGGUAAACAGCUCCUAAUAUAUAAUCAAAUCCUAAAUUCUUCUUAUCAAUAUGAAUCCACAAAACAGACUCGGAAGUAGUACCAAAAAUUAUUGUUGUGUAUGGGAAUAAGUCAUCACACACCAAAAUGCAAAGACCGUUAAAACCACCUAACCUACCAUUAUCACUUUCCUUUACAUAACUAUGGAAAUUUGAAAGAUGAGUGCAGAAUAAAUCAGAGUUUGUUUUAGUUUCUGAUAAACAAAUGAUGCUGUUAUCUUUCAAAAUGAAAUCCAGAAUGCCAGCCUUAAGUUUACUUUGAAGUCCGUUGACGUUCAGGCUACAAAUAGAUAGAAUUGGCAAUUUUUCUUUCCAAAGAGGGUAAAACAAGGUUAACAUUUCACAUUCAUCACUCGCUGCUCUUGGGUGGCCAUCAAAGAUAAUCAAAAAAUGAAUGAAGCUUUCCUAGCGAAUCUGUCUUUUGAAUUUUUGAUGUAACAUUCAUAAUGGGUGGACACCAAUUGAAGGAUUAUUAGAAUUUCAUAAAAAUAAUCAUAUCAUUCCAUUAAAAAAAGUUUGGCUUUUGAUUGCAGCCAUCAUUCCCUUCGAAAAUGAAGAGGAGGACAGAAUAGGAAGAGAAAACUGCAGAGCACACGUGUUAGCAAUGGGGAUCUCUGCAGUAUGGAUGUUGGAUAUUGCCUGUCCCUGUGGCUCAAGAUGAUCUCUGGUUUCUCAAUGAAACCAACUGUUGGAAUCUGCUUAGGCUCAUCGAAGAACAUGGCUAAUAGGCCAUGUUCCACAGGUGCAGAUGGAAGCUGCUUAGGUUGCUGGAGGGGCUGAACUUGCUCCCCCAUAUCCACCCCCUGUGGUAGAGAAUCCCGAUCGGCCUUCUUCUGUCGCUUGUGUAACAUACAUGUAGAAGAAAAAUGAAUAAUAAAAAUAAUAUAAUUCCAUUGAAAAAAGUUUAGCUUUUGAUUGCAGCCAUCAUUCCCUCCGAAAACAAGGAAAAGGAUGACAGAAUAGGAAGAGAAAGCUGCAGAGCACACGUGUUAGCAAUUGGAAACUCUGCGGUAUGGAUAUGUGCAAUCGCAAUGCUAUCCCUGUGGCGGAAGAUUCAGCAAUGUAUGGAAACUUUGUGCUAAUCCACAAGCCUGUAUCCUCGCAUGUUAGAUUUGAGUUCUUACAUUUCAGUCGAUGGUAGGCAAUGUAUUGUUUGAUAGCUAUCUUCUCCUGACUCUUUCUCUACUAAAGAAAUGAACAUAUGAUGCUGAUCCAUAGUACCCCAUCACUCGUGAAAUUAUAGAGUGAAUUUUUGAAUUAUUGAUGUAACAUUCUAAAUGGGUGGACACCAAAGGUUGUUUGAGUUUCAUAAAAAUAUUCAUAUUAUUCCAUUGAAAACAAAGUUGGGCUUUUGAUUGCAGCCAUCAUUCCCUCCAAAAACAAUGAAAAGGAGGACAGAAUAGGUAGCGAAAGCUGCAGAGCACAAGUGUUUGCAAUGGGGAACUAUGCGGUUUGGAUGUAAAUGUAGGCAAUUGCAAUGCUGUCCCUGUGGCGGAAGAUGAUCUCGGGUUUCUCAAUAACACCAACUGUUGGAAUCUGCUUCAUGGAUUUUUUAAAUUUAAGCAUGGAUGCCCACCUCAGCCCGCAGACUGUUCUUCUGUAGGACCGUGCACAUACAUAAAAAACAUACAAUAUCAAAAUAACAUAUAUACAACAUAUUACAACAUAAUAAUGAUAAAAUAAAUAUAUACAAAACAAAUACAACAUACACUAAAAAUACAUAUGAAAAUGAAAUAUUUAAAGGGGGACGGGGACUACUCUCUUGGCAAGCUUUUGUCUCGCCAGCAUAUCCCGCUUGAAUCGUAUAGAGACUGUAGACUAUGUUUAUUCAAGCAUAAAGACGAAGCACACGUUCUAAGAUAUUUGGACGUGAAAUCUCUAUGCGCAUGUAGUUCCCAGAGAGUUCUGCUCUGAAAAGUGAGAGCGUGACCAAUCAAUCAUAUAUAUACAUGUAUAUAUAUAUAUAUAUAUAAAUGCUAGCCUUCUAUGACUCCCUUUUGUACUUUGAGCAUGGUACCGUUGAGCAGGAUAAUGGAUGUUGGAGAGGUUCACUCGCAUGUGUUACUUAGUGAGCUGCCUUAUAGAUAUUUCAAUAGGUUUGUACUUAUCCUCUUCAGGAAGACAAACCUGAAGACAUCCAGAAGAUAUAAGUACAAAUUUAUCAAAAUGUCAAGCCCUUACAGAAUUUCAAUCAGAAUGUAGAAAAUAACAGAAAUCAACAAAAAACAAAUACACAUCUAGCUUUUAACGACAUUAUGCCAGUCAUUAUUACUGAGUCUUUCUUCCAAGUCCUCAUCAAGAAUGCUGGCAUCCUCCUCAACGUCACCUUCUGGGCGAUUUGGUUUGAAUUGAUAUGGUUGCACGCCAAGUACAGGGGCAGCUGCAACUGCACCCAAAAUUUCAUCUUCAUGUAGACAUAUGAAUGAACAUCUAGUUCGAGAGUUUUGCCCUCUUGAAGAGUUUUCUUUCAUAAGAAAGCAUGUUUCUCACUGCUUCCCUAAGAAAAUACGAUAAUAAUUUAAUAUAAAUUAAAAUAAUUUAACUUCAUUAGGAAUUUCAUUAUCUGUGAAAGGAUAAGAAAAUCACUUCCCCCGACUUCUUUCUCCUUGGAUGAGUCCAUUGUUUGCAUACCAGUUUUUGAGAUUUGUGAAUUUUUGUGGCCCAAUCUCCAUCAGGUAGAAAAAGGUAUACCGACAGAUCCGUUUUUGCCCAUAGCAAAAAUUCUUCAUCCUCAUAUUUGUCCUUUGCGUUGGCUUAGAUUUCUUCCCCUGGGUCACAUUGCCAUCAUUGAUGGAAGAC